CCAUACUGCAUAGAAAAAGUAGUCGGAAAUGGAAUUGGCUGAGUGAGAAAUCCAGAAAAUUCCUUCAAAAUCAAAUCUACGAUUGAGGGUUUGUGAAACGCGAUCAAUAAAUGGCGCUGUUGGCUUCUUUGGCCGGAGGGCUUGCUGCAGUUGGUAAACUUUUAGGUGCUAUCUAUCCGAAGAUGAAGAGUAGGAUCAGAUUCCGAUCCAACCUCGAAAAACUCAACAAGGAAAUGGGAAAACUAACAAAUCUUGGAAACGCCGUGAAAGAACAGAUCGAGGAAGCUGAGAAGAGAAGAGGCCAGGUAGCUGCUGCACCAGCAGUGACGAUGUGGCUUGAAGAGCUUGAAGCCAUCAACAAGGAAGUGAAUUCAAUAGAAGCACAGGUACAACAAGGUAACCUUUGUCCAACAACUCCAAGUUGCUGCUGCCUUGGCUGUACACUAGGUGAAAAAGUAUCCAAGAGCCUCACCGAGGUUAGAAGACUCAUUGAAGCCGUCAAGUUUUUUUCUAAUAGCAUGGUGGUUGAAAAUUGCCAAUUGAAAAUAGUUGAGCACAUCCCGGGGCCUUCAAUCAUUGGCCAAUCGACAGCUUCCAAAAAUCUAAUCAAGGUUAUGAAUUUGUUGAAUGAUGACGAUGAUGGUGCAAGUAAGAUCGGCGUUUGGGGUAUGGGUGGAGUUGGCAAGACUACUCUAGUCAAGAACUUGAACAACCAGCUCGAGACUGCUUCUGCUGCUUCUUCUCUUGCUCAACCUUUCAGCAUCAUUAUAUGGCUCACCGUCUCCAAGGAAUUGGACCUGAAAAGGCUCCAAACACAACUCCUGGAAAGAUUGAAUUUGGUGGUAAAAGCAGGGGAAAACAUGGAGAGUUCUGCAAGCAGACUUCAUAAACGACUUAAAAUGGAGAAACGAUUCCUCCUCAUUCUAGAUGAUGUUUGGGAGGCAAUUGAUUUGGAUUAUCUAGGUGUCCCACAAGAACAACCAGAAUUUCAACUGGGAAACAAGGUAAUACUGACCUCUCGAUCUUUGGAUGUUUGUCGGCAGAUGAAGACGGAUAUAGAUGUUAAAGUGGAUGUUCUAAGCGAGGAAGAAUCUUGGCAACUGUUUACUCAAAAUGCUGGGAAGGUAGCCACUCUACCACAUAUUGAACCGAUUGCAAGGAAAGUUAGCAAAGAAUGUAGUGGAUUGCCCCUAGCCAUCAUCAUUGUUGGGGCUUCCAUGAGGGGGAAGACAACGGAGACAUUGUGGAACGAUGCCUUAAAUGCUUUGGAAAUGUCUGUGCCUAGCGUCAAAGGAAUUGAGGAUAAGGUGUACAAGCCUCUCAAAUGGAGUUACGAUUCAUUGUUUUUCCAAGAUAUGGAUAUCAAAUCUUGUUUUUUGUAUUGCUCCUUAUAUCCAGAGGACUUUUCAAUUCAAGUAAGGGAACUUGUGCAAUGCUGGAUUGCGGAAGGCUUGUUGGUAGUACGAAAAAGCUAUGAGGAUUCAAUGAAUAGGGGAAUUGCUUUGGUUGAAAAUCUCAAGGACUCUUGCUUGCUAGAAGAUGGUAUCUUCAACCACACUGUGAAGAUGCAUGACGUAGUUCGUGAUGUAGCCAUAUGGAUUGCGUCCUCCUCGAAGCUUUAUGGAUGUAAGUCCUUUGUUCAGUCAGGAAUCGGUUUGAAUCAAAUUUCAGAAGCUGAAUUGUCAAAAUCUCUCAAUAGAGUUUCUUUCAUGGAGAACAAAAUAACAAGGUUGCCUGAUUGUGCAAUACGAUGCCCAAAGGUAUCAAGUCUACUUCUACAAGGUAAUCUUCCUCUUGAGAUAGUUCCAGAAGGAUUCCUGCUUGGAUUUCCAGCACUUAGAGUCUUGAAUCUGAGUGAAACUCGCAUUCAUACACUACCUCUUUCAGUUAUCCAAUUGCGUAAACUCAAGGCUCUUCUGCUACAAGGAUGUCAGAACCUCAAAGAAUUACCCCCACUUGGAACACUUCAUAGGUUACAAGUUCUCGAUUGCUCUUCCACUAAUCUUGAGGCAUUGCCAGAAGGAAUGGAAAAUUUAACUGAUCUAAGGCUGUUAGAUCUGUCAGAAACUCACCACUUGAGACAUAUUCCAUAUGGAAUUAUAUCCCAGUUGUCCCGUUUAGAAACUAUAGACAUGACAAAUAGUUUCUACAAGUGGGGUGGGAAGAGACCAAAGGAAGAAUUGGAAAAAGCACCAAUUGAUGAGCUAGGAUGCCUCAACCAAUUGAUUGCUCUAUACAUUAACCUGAACAGCUCGUAUCUCGCCUUUGAAGAUCUUUCUUGGAUAAAAAGAUUAAAAAGAUUCCAUUUUGUCAUUGGUCAUGCUGAUGAAAAACUUCUAGUACAACAAAAAUAUGAGGAAAAGAGGGUUACUCUUUGUCGGGUUGAUUUCUUUGGGGAAUGUUAUUGGGUUACGCAACUGUUGGAAAAUGCAAGUAAUCUGACUUUGGAUUAUUGUCAAAAUCUAGAAGAGAUACCUGCAGGCUUGGCGAACAAAUGCUACUGUUUUAUUGGUUUGAAAUCACUAACUAUCACAGAUUACCAUGGUGAUAUUCUACCAGCAAGAGAAAGCUGUGAUGACCAAUUUGACCUCUUACCUAAUCUUCAGGAACUUGUUCUCAAUGAAGUGUCUUCUCUAAGGUCCAUUUCAGAACUAGCUCACCUUCUCGAACUCCGACUUUCUAAACUAAGAAAAAUAAGUUUGUCCUAUUGUAGCAGUUUAGAAUAUCUUGUCUCUUCUAGUGGGACUUUGAAAAAUCUAGAAGAAGUCACCGUUAGCUAUUGUAGGAAGUUUGCAGAGCUCUUUGAGAAUGCUAGUUCAAGCGAGUCUUUUGAGGACCUUCCUGAGCAUGCUACUUCAAGCCAGACAUUAGUUCCGAGUUGCAUUGUUCCAAACCUACGGAUAAUGAAAUUGAAAAAUCUUCCCGAAUUAACCACCCUAUGCGGACAGCACCAGUCAUGGCAGCAUCUAGAGAUACUUGAAGUGAUCAAUUGCAAUCAAAUCAAAAAGUUGCCAUUCACUACCCAAAAUGCAAAUGCCAUAGAAGAAAUAAGAGGUGACUUGCAAUGGUGGAACGAUUUGGAGUGGGACGAAGAAGAUACAAAAUCAAGUCUGCAGCAGUAUUUCAAUCCUUGUUGGUGCUGAAGGUAUAUGCUUUCGAGACUGCUCAAGGAAUUCACAUGUCUGUCGCUCUGCUGAGUAGCAAAGCAAGUCAAGAAGAAUAAAGAAAAUGGAGCUCUGUAUUUGUGUACUCAAGAGCCACGCUUUUGAAGCUCAAUGCAGGUUGGACUUUCUCCAACUAGCUCGGAAAGUGUUGUUUUGGGCGAGUGAGCGAAGCAUUUUCAGAAAAAUAUUGAGAGUUACGAUAUCUGCGAUCACUUCAUGGCUGGAGGACUUGUAGCGGUUGGUCAGCAUUUUUGUGGCUUUAUCUAUCCUAAGAUCAAGAGCAUGAUCAGAUCCCGAUCAAACCUCGAAAAACUCAGGAAGGAAAUGGGAAAUCUAUUAAGUCUUGGAAACAACUUGAAAGGACAGAUUGAGGCAGCAGAAGAAGUGGCCAUGUAGCUGCACCAGCAGUGACCAAGUGGCUUGAAGAGUUUGAAAACAUCAAGAAUGAAGUGAAUUCCGUAGAAGCAAGUGUGGAAUCCAACGGCGGUAAAUGUUGUCCAACAACACCAAGUUGCUGCCUUGGCUGUACACUGGGUGUCAAAGUAGACAAGAACCUCACUGGGGUUAGAAGACUCAUUGAAGCUGCCAAUUUUCCAAGUGGCAUGGUGGUUGAAAACUACCAAGUGAAAAAAGUUGAGCACAUCCCGGGGCCUUCAAUUGCAGGGCAAUCGACAGCUUCCAAAAAUCUAAUGAAGGUUAUGGAUUUGUUGAGUGAUGAUGAUGGUGCAAGUAGGAUCGGCGUUUGGGGUAUGGGCGGCGUUGGCAAGACUACUCUGGUCAAGAACCUGAACAACCAGCUCGAGACCGCUGCUUCUUCUGCUCAGCCUUUCAGCAUCAUUAUAUGGGUCACCGUCUCCAAGGAAUUGGACUUGAAAAGGCUCCAAACACAACUCCUGGAAAGAUUGAAUUUGGUGGUAAAAGCAGGGGAAAGCAUGGAGAGUACAGCAAGCCAACUUCAUGAACGACUUCAAAAGGAGAAAAGAUUCCUCCUCAUUCUUGAUGAUGUUUGGGAGACAAUUGAUUUGGAUUAUUUAGGUGUCCCACAAUGUGAUGAAUUUCACAUGGGACACAACAUAAUUUUGACCUCUCGCUCUUUGGAUGUUUGUCGGUAAAUGAAGACAGAUACAGAUGUUGAAGUGGAUGUUCUAAACGAGGAAGAAUCUUGGCAACUGUUUACUCAAAAUGCUGGGAAGGUAGCUGGUAUACAACAUAUUGAGCCAAUCGCAAGGAAAGUUAGCGGAGAAUGUGGUGGAUUGCCCCUAGCCAUCAUCAUUAUUGGGGCUUCCAUGAGAGGGAAGACAACAGAGGCAUUGUGGCACGACGCCUUAAAUGCUUUGCAAAGGUCAGUGCCUCGCAUCAAAGGCAUUAAGGAUAAGGUGUACAGGCCCCUCAAGUGGAGUUAUGAUUCGUUAUUUUUUCAAGGUAUGGAUAUCAAAUCUUAUUUCUUGUAAUGCUCUUUAUAACCAGAGGACUUUGAAAUAGAAGUGAAGGAACUUGUGCAAUGCUGGAUUGCUGAAGGUUUGGUAGAUGAUGAACUACGAAACUGUGAGGAUUCAAUGAAUAGGGGAAUCGCUUUGGCUGAAAAUCUCAAGGAUUCUUGCUUGUUGGAAGAAGGUAUUACAAUGGAAACAGUGAAGAUGCAUGACAUAGUUCGUGACAUCGCCCUAUGGAUUGCAUCCUCUUCCUCCUCGGAGUCAGAUGGAUGUAAUAAUAGGUCACUUGUUCAGUCAGGAAUUGGUUUGAAUCGAAUUUCAAUGGGUGCAUUGUCAAAAUCACUCGAGAGUUUCUUACAAUGAUAUGGCAAUGUUACCUGAUUGUACAACACAAUGUCCAAUGGUAUCAAGUUUGCUUCUACAAGCUAAUUUUUGUCUUCAGAUAGUUCCAGAAGGAUUCCUUCUAGGAUUUCAAGCACUUAAUGUCUUGAAUCUGAGUCGAACUCACAUCCGUACACUGCCUAUUUCCCUUGUCCAGUUGAGUCAACUCCGGGCUCUUAUACUACGAAGAUGUCAAAGACUCGCUAAAUUACCCCCGGUUGGAAAUCUUUGUAAUUUGGAAGUGCUUGAUUGCUCUUCCAGUGAUCUCGAGUUAUUGCCAGAAGGAAUGGAAAAUUUAACCAAUCUCAGGCUAUUAGAUCUAUCAAAAACUUCCUUGAGAUAUAUUCCAAAUGGAAUUAUAUCCCAGUUGUCCCGUUUAGAAAUUAUAAACACGACAAAAAGUUUCUACACUUGGGGUGCGAGGAGUGAGUUAGAAAGGGGACAAACACCAUUUGAUGAGCUACAAUGCCUCGACCGAUUGAGUGCUCUAUUCAUGAACUUCAAUUCCUAUAACCUCGCAUUUGAAGAUCUUUCUUGGAUAGAAAGGUUAAAAAGAUUCCAUGUUGUCAUUCAUAAAAGUCCAACUAAUGCAAAAGCAUUACAAGUGAUGAGGUGGUCUAACAGGGCUACUAGUACUGACUCUGAUAAGAAUUGGAUGAAGUCGUUGGUGCAAAAAGCAAAUCUGCAAACAAUUCCUACAGACUUCCCCAAAGAAUAUCGAUUUAUUGGUUUGAGAUCACUAACUAUGACAGAUUGUGACCUAAAUUUUCAACCAGCAAGAGUUAGUGGUACCAAAUUUUACCCAUUACUGACCCUUGAGGAACUUAUUCUCCUUCGUCUGGGUUUAGAGUCCAUUUCAGAACUAGUUCACCAUCUCCAUUUGAGAUUUUCUGAACUUAGAAUAAUAAAAGUGUCUGAAUGUUACUACUUAAAAAAUCUCUUCUCUUCAACUAGUAUUACACCGACUUUAAAAAAUCUAGAAAAAGUCACAAUUAGCCAUUGUAGGAAGUUGGUGGAGCUCUUUGAGAGUGCUAGUUCAAGCCAGUCAUCUGAGGGGUUGUUAGAGGAGCUUGUUGAGAAUGCUACUUCAAGCCAGACAUUGAUUCCGAGUUGCAUUGUUCCAAACCUACGGAUAAUGAAAUUGAAGGAGCUUCCCAAAUUAGCGACCCUGGGCGGGCACCACCAGUCAUGGCAGCAUCUAGAGAAACUUGAAGUGAUCCAUUGCAAUCAAAUCAAGAAGUUGCCAUUCACUACCCAAAAUGCAACUGCCAUAAAAGAAAUAAGAGGUGCAUCGCAAUGGUGGAAUGAUUUGGAGUGGGAUGAUGAAAAUACAAAAUCAGGUCUACAGCAGUAUUUCAAGCCCUAUUGAUGCUGGAAGGUGCAGGCUUUCGGGAUUGCUCAAAGAUUUCACAAGUCUAUUGCAUUGCUGGGUAGCAAGUCAAGAAUAAACUGAAAGGAGCUGUGCAUUUGUCUACUCAAAGGCCAUGCUUUUGAAGCUCAAUGCAGGUUGAACUUUCUCCAACUAGCUCGAAAAGUGUUCGUUUGGGAGGUCAGUCCAGUUUACUUUCUGCGAGUUCUUGUAACAUGUUGAAUUUAGGCAAAAUUUUUGAAUGAAUAUUGUAGUUGCCCUUGUGUGGAAUUUCCCUAGGGUGGACAAUUGUAUAUGUCCAUGACUGGGUGCUCGUGUUGUGUGAUUGUUCAGUUGUUUGAUUACUUAUCUCUUACUCUUAUUGUCAUUUUCUGUUAGUUUAUAUAUGAUGGUGUUGGUUGCUUU
Molecule: non-coding RNA, 6752 nt
Organism: Camellia sinensis
Lineage: Eukaryota; Viridiplantae; Streptophyta; Magnoliopsida; Ericales; Theaceae
Source: RefSeq, a predicted model, not a curated record